AAAUUUGUUGAAUGCAUUGUGAAUAAGAAUGUUUUGUUAAAAUAAAUAUACACGGAUGGAAAUAGUAUAAAAUAUCGGAAUUUGUAUAUCGAAUUAUAGUUGAUCGUGGUCUUUUUCACUGUUGCGAUAUGAGACAGAAGAAAAUCUAAAUAAAAAAUGACAAAUUACAAAUACGUAAUUAUUGCUUUGGCAACAAUUUUAAUGUUCAUUAUUCAUACUAUCAAUGCUGGAUGUAAAGGAAAUGGACUUCCAUGCCAACCUAAAAGAAGGGCAGAAUGUUGUACAGGAUAUUGUUUAAAACAAAUAGGAUGGAAAAUAGGUCACUGCGCCAAACGCUCUUAAUAAAAAAAAAAUUGUACAAUGUAAAUAGAAAAAUAAAUUAAAAAUAAUACUUUUUUUACAUACUUAA
Molecule: long non-coding RNA, 409 nt
Organism: Leptopilina boulardi
Lineage: Eukaryota; Metazoa; Arthropoda; Insecta; Hymenoptera; Figitidae
Exons: 2
Source: RefSeq, a predicted model, not a curated record